Non-coding RNA from Rattus norvegicus (Norway rat), 69 nucleotides. Lineage: Eukaryota; Metazoa; Chordata; Mammalia; Rodentia; Muridae. The record is from Rfam.
GGAGAUUUAGCUCAGUGGUAGAGCGCUUGCCUAGCAAGCGCAAGGUCCUGGGUUCGGUCCCCAGCUCCG